UGAAAUGUGUUGUUAUUUCAGACAAAAGCAAUGUCUUGACAUAUUUCGGCAUCUGAUGGAUGGGUUUCUAUUAAAUGCAGUGGUUGUUCCUGUGCCGAAAGCAGCCAUGGCCAAGCCAAGUCUAGCUCCUGUAACAGCUUCCAACAAGCUGUCCAUCGAGCAGAAGCUAAUGGCUUCAUGGACUGCCAAGAGGAGAACUUACCGCAGAUGCUAAACAGUGGUGACCAACAAAUCGGACAAGAUGCUGAAAUAUGUCAACCUGUCGAUCUCCAAGCUCUACGGUCCUCUGUGGGGACUAACCAAGUCCAACGACUCGGAUGUGUUCCCUUCCUGGAUCUAAUCCUUACCUUCAGGGAAGAGCCUCGGGUUUGUGUACAUCCAUACUUUGCCUCUAGUGGACAUCUCCAUUCUCAAGCUACACUUUGGCAUAGGAAGAUACUCCAGCUUCAUAUGUAAUUGCACAGUUUUUCUGGGUUUCAGGGAUGUAAAGGAUUGUGCAGCAAUACCUAUUGGAUACGGCCUU
Eucalyptus grandis is the source of this 523-nucleotide long non-coding RNA. RefSeq lists it as uncharacterized. NCBI's taxonomy places the organism in Eukaryota, Viridiplantae, Streptophyta, Magnoliopsida, Myrtales, Myrtaceae. The record is from RefSeq and is a predicted model, not a curated record. The transcript has 2 exons.